This 253-nucleotide ribosomal RNA is filed under the name uncultured bacterium. Its description in RNAcentral is "partial 16S ribosomal RNA". It matches the Rfam family "Bacterial small subunit ribosomal RNA", at positions 524 to 776 of the family's 1533-position model. The record is from RNAcentral.
UACGUAGGGUGCGAGCGUUAAUCGGAAUUACUGGGCGUAAAGCGUGCGCAGGCGGCGCGUUAAGACAGGUGUGAAAGCCCCGAGCUUAACUUGGGAAUUGCGCUUGUGACUGGCGUGCUGGAGAGUGGCAGAGGGAGGUGGAAUUCCACGUGUAGCAGUGAAAUGCGUAGAGAUGUGGAGGAACACCGAUGGCGAAGGCAGCCUCCUGGGCCAGCACUGACGCUCAUGCACGAAAGCGUGGGGAGCAAACAGG